CCCUUUGAUACUCUGGGCGGCACGCGCGCUACAAUGGAUAAUACAACGUGUUACUUAACCGAAAGGUUAUGUAAAUCACAAAUGUUACGUCUUGAAUGGGAUAGUUUAUUGCAACUACAGACUUGAACUAGGAAUCCCUUGUAGGUACACUGAAGCAUAGUGUACCGAAUACGUCCCUGCCGUUUGUACACACCGCCCGUCGUUUCUUCCGACUGAUACUCAUUGUGAAUUACGAGGAUGCGUUAGCAAAAUCGUUGUAAAUGCUGGGUAUUGGAGAAAGAAAAAGUCGUAACA
RNAcentral lists this ribosomal RNA (294 nucleotides) under uncultured eukaryote. RNAcentral describes it as "partial 18S ribosomal RNA". It matches the Rfam family "Eukaryotic small subunit ribosomal RNA", at positions 1470 to 1796 of the family's 1831-position model. The record is from RNAcentral.